This 301-nucleotide ribosomal RNA is filed under the name uncultured bacterium. Its description in RNAcentral is "partial 16S ribosomal RNA". It matches the Rfam family "Bacterial small subunit ribosomal RNA", at positions 509 to 807 of the family's 1533-position model. The record is from RNAcentral.
CAGCAGCCGCGGGAAUACGUAGGGUGCGAGCGUUAAUCGGAAUUACUGGGCGUAAAGCGUGCGCAGGCGGUUGUGUAAGACAGGUGUGAAAUCCCCGGGCUUAACCUGGGAACUGCGCUUGUGACUGCACAGCUAGAGUAUGGCAGAGGGGGGUGGAAUUCCACGUGUAGCAGUGAAAUGCGUAGAGAUGUGGAGGAACGCCGAUGGCGAAGGCAGCCCCCUGGGCCAAUACUGACGCUCAUGCACGAAAGCGUGGGGAGCAAACAGGAUUAGAUACCCGCGUAGUCCCUGUCUCUUAUAC